This 406-nucleotide ribosomal RNA is filed under the name uncultured bacterium. Its description in RNAcentral is "partial 16S ribosomal RNA". It matches the Rfam family "Bacterial small subunit ribosomal RNA", at positions 30 to 526 of the family's 1533-position model. The record is from RNAcentral.
AUUGAACGCUGGCGGCAGGCCUAACACAUGCAAGUCGAGCGAGCGGCGGACGGGUGAGUAAUGUCUGGGAAAAUGCCUGAUGGAGGGGGAUAACAACUGGAAACGGUAGCUCAUACCGCAUACAAUAAGAUGUGCCCAGAUGGGAUUAGCUAGUGGGUGGGGUAACGGCUCACCUAGGCGACGAUCCCUAGCUGGUCUGAGAGGAUGACCAGCCACACUGGAACUGAGACACGGUCCAGACUCCUACGGGAGGCAGCAGUGGGGAAUAUUGCACAAUGGGCGCAAGCCUGAUACAGCCAUGCCGCGUGUGUGAAGAAGGCCUUCGGGUUGUAAAGCACUUUCAGCGGGGAGGCGUUACCCGCAGAAGAAGCACCGGCUAACUCCGUGCCAGCAGCCGCGGUAAUUC